GGAAAAUUUGAAUCAAAUAGGCUCCAGCCUCAUAAGCCGGAGGUCGGGAGUUCAAGUCUCCCCCGUGACACCA
This 73-nucleotide transfer RNA is filed under the name Caudoviricetes sp. RNAcentral describes it as "tRNA-OTHER". Lineage: Duplodnaviria; Heunggongvirae; Uroviricota; Caudoviricetes. The record is from RNAcentral.